CGCCGGUUUAGACAAAAAUCGGCGGAGAAUAGAUAACCCGGUCAGAAUCCGGGACGGUACCGCCACUGUAUGCGUGGAGACGCCGCACAAGACAAAUGUCAGCCAUUGGGAGCAAAUCCUGAGAAGGCCGUGCAGAGCGUUUAUGAUACGCGAGUCAGGAGACCUGCUCAAGC
Molecule: non-coding RNA, 173 nt
Filed under: human gut metagenome
Source: RNAcentral